RNAcentral lists this ribosomal RNA (549 nucleotides) under uncultured Acetobacter sp. RNAcentral's name for it is "bacterial SSU rRNA". It matches the Rfam family "Bacterial small subunit ribosomal RNA", at positions 138 to 716 of the family's 1533-position model. Lineage: Bacteria; Pseudomonadati; Pseudomonadota; Alphaproteobacteria; Acetobacterales; Acetobacteraceae. The record is from RNAcentral.
GNGGGAUAACUCCGGGAAACUGGAGCUAAUACCGCAUGAUAACUGAGGUUCAAAGGUCGCAAGACCGCCUUGAGAGGGGCCUGCGUUCGAUUAGUUAGUUGGUGGGGUAAUGGCCUACCAAGACGAUGAUCGAUAGCUGGUUUGAGAGGAUGAUCAGCCACACUGGGACUGAGACACGGCCCAGACUCCUACGGGAGGCAGCAGUGGGGAAUAUUGGACAAUGGGGGCAACCCUGAUCCANCAAUGCCGCGUGUGUGAAGAAGGUCUUCGGAUUGUAAAACACUUUCGUUGGGGACGAUGAUGACGGUACCCAAAGAAGAAGCCCCGGCUAACUUCGUGCCAGCAGCCGCGGUAAUACGAAGGGGGCGAGCGUUGCUCGGAAUAACUGGGCGUAAAGGGCGCGUAGGCGGCCGAUAGCUGUCUGAUGUGAAAUUUUUGGGCUCAACCCGAAAACUGCNUUUGAUACNUAUUGNCUAGAGUGCGAGAGANGAUUGCGGAAUUCCCAGUGUAGAGGUGAAAUUCNUAGAUAUUGGGAAGAACACCANUUGC